This 515-nucleotide ribosomal RNA is filed under the name uncultured bacterium. Its description in RNAcentral is "partial 16S ribosomal RNA". It matches the Rfam family "Bacterial small subunit ribosomal RNA", at positions 28 to 523 of the family's 1533-position model. The record is from RNAcentral.
GAUGAACGCUGGCGGCGUGCCUAAUACAUGCAAGUCGAGCGAAUGGAUUAAGAGCUUGCUCUUAUGUAGUUAGCGGCGGACGGGUGAGUAACACGUGGGUAACCUGCCCAUAAGACUGGGAUAACUCCGGGAAAGCAGGGCUAAUACCGGAUAACAUUUUGAACCGCAUGGUUCGAACUUGAAAGGCGGCUUCGGCUGUCACUUAUGGAUGGACCCGCGUCGCAUUAGCUAGUUGGUGAGGUAACGGCUCACCAAGGCAACGAUGCGUAGCCGACCUGAGAGGGUGAUCGGCCACACUGGGACUGAGACACGGCCCAGACUCCUACGGGAGGCAGCAGUAGGGAAUCUUCCGCAAUGGACGAAAGUCUGACGGAGCAACGCCGCGUGAGUGAUGAAGGCUUUCGGGUCGUAAAACUCUGUUGUUAGGGAAGAACAAGUGCUAGUUGAAUAAGCUGGCACCUUGACGGUACCUAACCAGAAAGCCACGGCUAACUACGUGCCAGCCGCCGCAGUAA